ACGAACGCUGGCGGCGUGCUUAACACAUGCAAGUCGAACGGUGAAGCGCCUUCCUUUUUGGUGGGUGUGGAUGAGUGGCGAACGGGUGAGUAACACGUGAGUAACCUGCCCCCUUCUUCUGGAUAACCGCAUGAAAGUGUGGCUAAUACGGGAUAUUCUGGGUCUGUCGCAUGAUGGGUCUGGGAAAGAUAUUGUUUCGGUGGGGGAUGGGCUCGCGGCCUAUCAGCUUGUUGGUGGGGUGAUGGCCUACCAAGGCGGUGACGGGUAGCCGGCCUGAGAGGGUGGACGGUCACACUGGGACUGAGACACGGCCCAGACUCCUACGGGAGGCAGCAGUGGGGAAUAUUGCACAAUGGGCGCAAGCCUGAUGCAGCGACGCCGAGUGAGGGAUGGAGGCCUUCGGGUUGUGAACCUCUUUCGCCAGUGAAGCAGGCCUGCCUCGUUUGUGGGUGGGUUGACGGUAGCUGGAUAAGAAGCGCCGGCUAACUACGU
This 492-nucleotide ribosomal RNA is filed under the name uncultured bacterium. RNAcentral describes it as "partial 16S ribosomal RNA". It matches the Rfam family "Bacterial small subunit ribosomal RNA", at positions 29 to 506 of the family's 1533-position model. The record is from RNAcentral.